Meriones unguiculatus (Mongolian gerbil) is the source of this 108-nucleotide small nuclear RNA. Lineage: Eukaryota; Metazoa; Chordata; Mammalia; Rodentia; Muridae. The record is from Ensembl.
GUGCUCGCUUCGGCAGCACAUAUACUAAAAUUGGAACGAUACAGAGAAGAUUAGCAUGGCCCCUGCGCAAGGAUGAAAUAUGUUAUUUUUUAUUAAUUACAAUUUAUU